This 72-nucleotide transfer RNA is filed under the name Planctomycetales bacterium. Its description in RNAcentral is "tRNA-Gln". It matches the Rfam family "tRNA". Rfam says of the family: Transfer RNA (tRNA) molecules are approximately 80 nucleotides in length. The record is from RNAcentral. Lineage: Bacteria; Pseudomonadati; Planctomycetota; Planctomycetia; Planctomycetales. RNAcentral also lists the same sequence under 1 other name.
UGGCCCGUGGUGUAAUUGGCAACACAGCGGAUUCUGGCUCCGCCGUUCUAGGUUCGAGUCCUAGCGGGCCAG